UGAGGAAUUUUGCGCAAUGGGCGAAAGCCUGACGCAGCAACGCCGCGUGAGUGAUGAAGGCUUUCGGGUCGUAAAGCUCUGUCAAGUGGGAAGAACACGCAGAAGGUUAAUACCCUUUUGCCCUGACGGUACCACUGAAGGAAGCACCGGCUAACUCCGUGCCAGCAGCCGCGGUAAUACGGGGGGUGCAAGCGUUACUCGGAAUCAUUGGGCGUAAAGGGCGCGCAGGCGGCCUGGCCAGUCAGAUGUGAAAGCCCGGGGCUCAACCCCGGAAGUGCAUUUGAUACUGCCAGGCUUGAGUAUGGGAGAGGGAAGCGGAAUUCCUGGUGUAGAGGUGAAAUUCGUAGAUAUCAGGAGGAACACCGGUGGCGAAGGCGGCUUCCUGGACCAAUACUGACGCUGAGGCGCGAAGGCGUGGGGAGCAAACAGGAUUAGAUACCCCUGUAGUCC
This 450-nucleotide ribosomal RNA is filed under the name uncultured prokaryote. Its description in RNAcentral is "bacterial SSU rRNA". It matches the Rfam family "Bacterial small subunit ribosomal RNA", at positions 355 to 796 of the family's 1533-position model. The record is from RNAcentral.